GAGCUCGCUGUGUGUUGUUUGGCCGAAGACAGCGAAGAAUAGAUACUCGAAGGCAAGAAUAGGACUCAUCUUUACUGGAAUUCGAGCUAAAAUCGAAGAUGCUUCAAGAUGCAGAGAUCCUUUUGAACACAGAGCCAGCCACACUUUCAUCGAAUCCCAAUCGAUUCUUUCGAUUUUAUGAUUACAAAACAUAGAAGGAUAAUCAUGGAGUCCUGCGAAAGUAUACAGAAAAAGAAGAAGAAGAAGAAGUAAACAAAAAAUAAAUGUUAUUAACAAAUCGUCCCUGUCCGAAUCGCAGCGAAAAUGCACGGAUGGAAAAAGAAACACAGUUCUCGUCGAUUUUGCAGAAUAUUUGCUGUUAUCAGGCAGCACAGUCUUUGCAGGCAGCACACACACAGACAUAUGGCGUACAUCGGUCAAGAUGCACAAUGCAGAAAACGGGACGACACUGACAUCGAGCGUGUCCUGCAUUCCAAAUUUUGUUUUUGCGCACGUGCCACUUUGUUGCAGUUUUUUUUUUAAUAUAUUUUUUUUUUCAUAUUAUCAUUGUUCUCAAUUUGCUGCUUUUGUCAUUCCUGUCGAUCUGU
This is a long non-coding RNA of Polistes dominula (European paper wasp), 587 nucleotides long. The record is from RefSeq and is a predicted model, not a curated record. Lineage: Eukaryota; Metazoa; Arthropoda; Insecta; Hymenoptera; Vespidae.